UGGUUCUGGCAUCGAUGAAGAACGCAGCGAAAUGCGAUAAGUAAUGUGAAUUGCAGAAUUCAGUGAAUCAUCGAAUCUUUGAACGCACAUUGCGCCCGCCAGUAUUCUGGCGGGCAUGCCUGUUCGAGCGUCAUUUCAACCCCUUAAGCCCUCGUUGCUUAGCGUUGGGAGCCUACAGCGAUGUAGCUCCUUAAAGUCAGUGGCGGGGUCGGCUCAGCACUCCAGACGUAGUAGUAGAAUUUCUCUUCCACCUCGCCUGCGGUUUGGACCGGUCCCCCGCCGUAAAACACCCCACUUUCUCAAGGUUGACCUCGGAUCAGGUAGGAAUACCCGCUGA
Molecule: unclassified non-coding RNA, 337 nt
Filed under: uncultured fungus
Lineage: Eukaryota; Fungi
Description: partial contains 5.8S ribosomal RNA and internal transcribed spacer 2
Rfam family: 5.8S ribosomal RNA (bases 1-133)
Source: RNAcentral